GUUCUGUAAGCCUGUGAAGAUGGACUCGUAAGAGCCGUUGGAGGUAUCAGAAGUGCGAAUGCUGACAUAAGUAACGUUAAUGCGUGUGAAAGACACGCACGCCGAAAGACCAAGGUUUCCUGUUCAACGUUAAUCGGAGCAGGGUGAGUCGGCCCCUAAGACGAGGCAGAGAUGCGUAGUCGAUGGGAAUCAGGUUAAUAUUCCUGAACUCUCGUAUCAUGCGAUGGAGGGACGGAGAAAGCUAGACCAGCUGGUGAUUGGUAUACCAGUGUAAGCAGGUAGGCAGAGAUCUUAGGCAAAUCCGGGAUCUCAAUGCUGAGAUGUGAAUGCGAGGAGGUUACGACCUCCGGAGUGGUUGAUGCUAUGCUUCCAAGAAAAGCUUCUAAGCUAUAGUGAUAUGAGAACCGUACCCCAAACCGACACUGGUGGUUGGGAUGAGAAUUCUAAGGCGCUUGAGAGAACUCGGGUGAAGGAACUCGGCAAAAUCGUACCGUAACUUCGGGAGAAGGUACACCUUCCUUGGUGAAUGCUUUACGCAGUAAGCUGAGGAGGGUCGCAGUGAAAAGCUGGCUGCAACUGUUUAUCAAAAACACAGGACUCUGCAAACACGAAAGUGGACGUAUAGGGUCUGACGCCUGCCCGGUGCUGGAAGGUUAAUUGAUGGGGUUAGCGUAAGCGAAGCUCUUGAUCGAAGCCCCAGUAAACGGCGGCCGUAACUAUAACGGUCCUAAGGUAGCGAAAUUCCUUGUCGGGUAAGUUCCGACCUGCACGAAUGGCGCAAUGACGGCCAGGCUGUCUCCACCCGAGACUCAGUGAAAUUGAAAUCGCCGUGAAGAUGCGGUGUACCCGCGGCAAGACGGAAAGACCCCGUGAACCUUUACUAUAGCUUUACAGUGGAUUUUGAAUCUUUUUGUGCAGGAUAGGUGGGAGGCUUUGAAGCUAAGACGCUAGUUUUAGUGGAGCCAUCCUUGAAAUACCACCCUGAAAGUUUUGGAAUUCUAACUUAGAUCCAUCAUCUGGAUUAAGGACAUUGUAUGGUAGGUAGUUUGACUGGGGCGGUCUCCUCCGAAAGAGUAACGGAGGAGUACGAAGGUACCCUCAGCCCGGUCGGAAAUCGGGCUAUUGAGUGCAAAAGCAAAAGGGUGCUUGACUGCGAGACAGACACGUCGAGCAGGUACGAAAGUAGGUUUUAGUGAUCCGGUGGUUCUGUAUGGAAAGGCCAUCGCUCAACGGAUAAAAGGUACUCCGGGGAUAACAGGCUGAUUCCGCCCAAGAGUUCAUAUCGACGGCGGAGUUUGGCACCUCGAUGUCGACUCAUCACAUCCUGGGGCUGUAGUCGGUCCCAAGGGUAUGGCUGUUCGCCAUUUAAAGUGGUACGCGAGUUGGGUUCAGAACGUCGUGAGACAGUUCGGUCCCUAUCUGCCGUGGGCGUUGGAAAUUUGAGAGGAGCUGCUUCUAGUACGAGAGGACCGAAGUGGACGUAUCUCUGGUGGUCCGGUUGUCAUACCAAUGGCAUAGCCGGGUAGCUACAUACGGACGGGAUAACCGCUGAAAGCAUCUAAGCGGGAAGCCCACCUCAAGAUUAGAUUUCCCUAGGGGUUUAACCCCUCUGAAGGUCCGUCGAAGACUACGACGUUGAUAGGUUGGGUGUGUAAGUGCAGUAAUGCAUUGAGCUUACCAAUACUAAUUGACCGUGAGGCUUGACCAUAUAAUAG
RNAcentral lists this ribosomal RNA (1715 nucleotides) under Ignatzschineria indica. RNAcentral's name for it is "bacterial LSU rRNA". It matches the Rfam family "Bacterial large subunit ribosomal RNA", at positions 1238 to 2925 of the family's 2925-position model. Lineage: Bacteria; Pseudomonadati; Pseudomonadota; Gammaproteobacteria; Cardiobacteriales; Ignatzschineriaceae. The record is from RNAcentral.